AGAGAUGCUUUCUUCUCUUCGGAGCCAGGAACACAGGUGCUGCAUGGCUGUCGUCAGCUCGUGUCGUGAGAUGUUGGGUUAAGACCCGCAACGAGCGCAACCCUCGCCUUUAGUUGCCAUCAUUCAGUUGGGCACUCUAGAGGGACUGCCGGUGAUAAGCCGGAGGAAGGUGGGGAUGACGUCAAGUCCUCAUGGCCCUUACAGGCUGGGCUACACACGUGCUACAAUGGCGGUGACAAUGGGAUGCGAAGGGGCGACCCGGAGCAGAUCUCCAAAAGCCGUCUCAGUUCGGAUUGUACUCUGCAACUCGAGUGCAUGAAGGUGGAAUCGCUAGUAAUCGUAGAUCAGAACGCUACGGUGAAUACGUUCCCGGGCCUUGUACACACCGCCCGUCACACCAUGGGAGUUGGUUUUACCCGAAGGCGUUUCGCUAACC
This 436-nucleotide ribosomal RNA is filed under the name uncultured Alphaproteobacteria bacterium. RNAcentral's name for it is "bacterial SSU rRNA". It matches the Rfam family "Bacterial small subunit ribosomal RNA", at positions 1002 to 1440 of the family's 1533-position model. Lineage: Bacteria; Pseudomonadati; Pseudomonadota; Alphaproteobacteria. The record is from RNAcentral.